RNAcentral lists this ribosomal RNA (823 nucleotides) under Myrmecridium iridis. RNAcentral's name for it is "LSU rRNA". It matches the Rfam family "Eukaryotic large subunit ribosomal RNA", at positions 66 to 922 of the family's 3401-position model. Lineage: Eukaryota; Fungi; Ascomycota; Sordariomycetes; Myrmecridiales; Myrmecridiaceae. The record is from RNAcentral.
CAACAGGGAUUGCCCCAGUAACGGCGAGUGAAGCGGCAACAGCUCAAUUUGAAAUCUGGCGCAAGCCCGAGUUGUAAUUUGCAGAGGAUGCUUUUGGUGCGGUGCCUUCUGAGUUCCCUGGAACGGGACGCCAGAGAGGGUGAGAGCCCCGUACAGUUGGACACCAAGCCGAUGUAAAGCUCCUUCGACGAGUCGAGUAGUUUGGGAAUGCUGCUCUAAAUGGGAGGUAAAUGCCUUCUAAAGCUAAAUACCGGCCAGAGACCGAUAGCGCACAAGUAGAGUGAUCGAAAGAUGAAAAGCACUUUGAAAAGAGGGUUAAAAAGUACGUGAAAUUGUUGAAAGGGAAGGGCUCGUGACCAGACUUGCGCCCGUCGGAUCAUCCGGCCUUCUGGCCGGUGCACUCCGGCGGGCUCAGGCCAGCAUCGGUUCUUCUGGGGGGACAAAGACGGCGGGAACGUAGCUCCUCCGGGAGUGUUAUAGCCCGCCGCAGAAUACCCCCGGGGGGACCGAGGACCGCGCUUCGGCAAGGAUGCUGGCGUAAUGGUCACCAGCCACCCGUCUUGAAACACGGACCAAGGAGUCAAGCAUUAGGGCGAGUGUUUGGGUGUCAAACCCGCACGCGAAAUGAAAGUGAACGCAGGUGAGAGCUUCGGCGCAUCAUCGACCGAUCCUGAUGUUUUCGGAUGGAUUUGAGUAAGAGCCUUACCGCUUGGACCCGAAAGAUGGUGAACUAUGCUUGGAUAGGGUGAAGCCAGAGGAAACUCUGGUGGAGGCUCGCAGCGGUUUCUGACGUGCAAAUCGAUCGUCAAAUCUGAGCAUGGGG